Molecule: ribosomal RNA, 446 nt
Filed under: uncultured bacterium
Lineage: Bacteria
Description: SSU rRNA
Rfam family: Bacterial small subunit ribosomal RNA
Source: RNAcentral
AGGAUGAACGCUGGCGGUCUGCUUAACACAUGCAAGUCGAACGGAGUAGCAAUACUUAGUGGCGGACGGGUGAGUAACGCGUGAGAAUCUACCUUCAGGACGGAGACAACAGUUGGAAACGACUGCUAACCCCCGAUGUACCGAAAGGGCAAAUAUUUAUAGCCUGAAGAAGAGCUCGCGUCCGAUUAGCUAGUUGGAGAGGUAAAAGCUCACCAAGGCGACGAUCGGUAGCUGGUCUGAGAGGACGAUCAGCCACACUGGGACUGAGACACGGCCCAGACUCCUACGGGAGGCAGCAGUGGGGAAUUUUCCGCAAUGGGCGAAAGCCUGACGGAGCAAGACCGCGUGGGGAAGAAGGCUCUUGGGUUGUAAACCCCUUUCUCUGGGAAGAACGCAAUGACGGUACCAGAGGAAUCAGCAUCGGCUAACUCCGUGCCAGCAGCCGC